GUGGGGAAUUUUGGACAAUGGGCGCAAGCCUGAUCCAGCCAUGCCGCGUGUCUGAAGAAGGCCUUCGGGUUGUAAAGGACUUUUGUCAGGGAAGAAAAGGAUAGGGUUAAUACCCCUGUCUGAUGACGGUACCUGAAGAAUAAGCACCGGCUAACUACGUGCCAGCAGCCGCGGUAAUACGUAGGGUGCGAGCGUUAAUCGGAAUUACUGGGCGUAAAGCGGGCGCAGACGGUUACUUAAGCAGGAUGUGAAAUCCCCGGGCUCAACCUGGGAACUGCGUUCUGAACUGGGUGACUAGAGUGUGUCAGAGGGAGGUAGAAUUCCACGUGUAGCAGUGAAAUGCGUAGAGAUGUGGAGGAAUACCGAUGGCGAAGGCAGCCUCCUGGGAUAACACUGACGUUCAUGCCCGAAAGCGUGGGUAGCAAACAGGAUUAGAUACCCUGGUAGUCCACGCCCUAAACGAUGUCGAUUAGCUGUUGGGCAGCUUGACUGCUUAGUAGCGAAGCUAACGCGUGAAAUCGACCGCCUGGGGAGUACGGUCGCAAGAUUA
RNAcentral lists this ribosomal RNA (550 nucleotides) under uncultured bacterium. Its description in RNAcentral is "bacterial SSU rRNA". It matches the Rfam family "Bacterial small subunit ribosomal RNA", at positions 354 to 896 of the family's 1533-position model. The record is from RNAcentral.